GCUCGCAUGGCUCAGGGGUAGAGCGCAUGACUCGUAAUCUGAGGUUAUCAUGAGGUCCGUGGUUCGAAUCCGCGUGUGAGCA
Molecule: transfer RNA, 82 nt
Filed under: Rasamsonia emersonii
Lineage: Eukaryota; Fungi; Ascomycota; Eurotiomycetes; Eurotiales; Trichocomaceae
Also listed under: 1 other name
Description: tRNA-Thr
Rfam family: tRNA
About the family: Transfer RNA (tRNA) molecules are approximately 80 nucleotides in length. Their secondary structure includes four short double-helical elements and three loops (D, anti-codon, and T loops). Further hydrogen bonds mediate the characteristic L-shaped molecular structure. tRNAs have two regions of fundamental functional importance: the anti-codon, which is responsible for specific mRNA codon recognition, and the 3' end, to which the tRNAs corresponding amino acid is attached (by aminoacyl-tRNA synthetases). tRNAs cope with the degeneracy of the genetic code in two manners: having more than one tRNA (with a specific anti-codon) for a particular amino acid; and 'wobble' base-pairing, i.e. permitting non-standard base-pairing at the 3rd anti-codon position.
Source: RNAcentral